GACGAACGCUGGCGGCGUGCCUAAUACAUGCAAGUAGAACGCUGAAGGCGGAGUUUGCUUCUCCGGAUGAGUUGCGAACGGGUGAGUAACGCGUUGGUAACCUGCCUGGUAGCGGGGGAUAACUAUUGGAAACGAUAGCUAAUACCGCAUAACAGUAGAUGUUGCAUGACAUUUGCUUAAAUGGUGCAAUUGCAUCAGUACCAGCUGGACCUGCGUUGUAUUAGCUAGUUGGUGAGGUAACGGCUCACCAAGGCGACGAUACAUAGGCGACCUGAGAGGGGGGUCGGCCACACGGGGACGGAGACACGGCCCAUAGUCCUACGGGAGGGAGCAGUAGGCAAUGUUCGGCAAUGGACGGAAGUCUGACCGAGCGACGCGGCGUGAGUGAAGAAGGUUUUCGGAGCGGGAAGCUCUGUUGUAAGUGAUGAACGGGUGUGAGUGUGGAAAGUUCACACUGUGACGGUAUCGUACCAGAAAGCGACGGCUAACUACGUG
This 495-nucleotide ribosomal RNA is filed under the name uncultured bacterium. RNAcentral's name for it is "partial 16S ribosomal RNA". It matches the Rfam family "Bacterial small subunit ribosomal RNA", at positions 28 to 507 of the family's 1533-position model. The record is from RNAcentral.